Molecule: ribosomal RNA, 140 nt
Filed under: uncultured bacterium
Lineage: Bacteria
Description: partial 16S ribosomal RNA
Rfam family: Bacterial small subunit ribosomal RNA
Source: RNAcentral
GCACUCCGGCGUGAGUGAAGAAGGCCUUCGGCUCGUGAACUUCUGUUGUUGGAGAAGAACCGUGUGAGAGUCACUGUUCAUUCCAUGACGGUAUCCAACCAGAAAGUCACGGCUAACUACGUGCCAGCAGCCGCGGUAAU